This 77-nucleotide transfer RNA is filed under the name Deltaproteobacteria bacterium. RNAcentral describes it as "tRNA-Arg". It matches the Rfam family "tRNA". Rfam says of the family: Transfer RNA (tRNA) molecules are approximately 80 nucleotides in length. Their secondary structure includes four short double-helical elements and three loops (D, anti-codon, and T loops). The record is from RNAcentral. Lineage: Bacteria; Pseudomonadati; Myxococcota; Myxococcia.
GGCCCCGUAGCUCAGGUGGAUAGAGCAACCGCCUCCUAAGCGGUAGGCCGUGCGUUCGAGUCGCGCCGGGGCCGCCA